Ochotona curzoniae (black-lipped pika) is the source of this 686-nucleotide long non-coding RNA. RefSeq lists it as uncharacterized. Lineage: Eukaryota; Metazoa; Chordata; Mammalia; Lagomorpha; Ochotonidae. The record is from RefSeq and is a predicted model, not a curated record. The transcript has 5 exons.
GCGCGCUCGCCCCGCAGCUCGGGCGGCUGGCAGGCGGGCUGGCGCCGGUCGCGUCGGCCGGCAGCAGGGCCCAUGUGGAAGCUCCUCCCGGCCGCGGGCCCAGCCCGAGAACCAUACAGACUUUUGACUGGCACUGAGUACAUCGUUGGAAGGAAAAACUGUGCUAUUCUAAUUGAAGAUGAUCAGUCAAUCAGUCGAAAUCAUGCAGUGUUAACUGCUAAUUUUGCUGUGACCAACUUGAGUCAAACUGAUGAAAUCCCUGUAUUGACAAUCAAAGAUAAUUCUAAAUAUGGUACCUUUGUUAAUGAGGCAAAAAUGCAAAAUCACCUUCCCCAAACUUUGAAGACAGGGGAUAGAGUCACCUUUGGAGUGUUUGAAAGUAAAUUCAGAUGUGUCUGGGAAAACUGCUCUAAAUCAAGCUGUGUUGCAACUUGGAGGACUCACUGUGAACAGCUGGACAAAAGAAUGUACUCACCUUGUCAUGAUGUCAGUGAAAGUCACCAUGGAAACGAUUUGUGCACUCAUUUGUGGAUGCCCCAUUGUAAAGCCAGAGUAUUUUACUGAAUUUCUCCAAGCAGUUCAGUCCAAGAAACAGCCUCCACAAAUAGAAAGGUAUAUUAUGUGUUUCUAAUUAACAACAUAUGACAGAAAAGAUGAGCGCAUUGACUUUCGGUUAACUCUCUGGA